GCCACGGUGGCGAAACUGGUAACGCGACAGGAUAGACCCCUGGAGUUCCCGGUUCAAAUCCGGGCUGUGGCA
Cephus cinctus (wheat stem sawfly) is the source of this 72-nucleotide non-coding RNA. NCBI's taxonomy places the organism in Eukaryota, Metazoa, Arthropoda, Insecta, Hymenoptera, Cephidae. The record is from the annotation of a RefSeq genome assembly.